This 339-nucleotide ribosomal RNA is filed under the name uncultured Pseudomonas sp. RNAcentral's name for it is "bacterial SSU rRNA". It matches the Rfam family "Bacterial small subunit ribosomal RNA", at positions 1045 to 1382 of the family's 1533-position model. Lineage: Bacteria; Pseudomonadati; Pseudomonadota; Gammaproteobacteria; Pseudomonadales; Pseudomonadaceae. The record is from RNAcentral.
AUGGCUGUCGUCAGCUCGUGCUGUGAAGUGUUGGGUUAAGUCCCGCAACGAGACGCAACCCCUAUCAUCUGUUGCCAGCAUUUAAGGUGGGGACGUCAGAUGAGACUGCCGGUGACAAACCGGAGGAAGGUGGGGACGACGUCAAGUCAUCAUGGCCCUUACGGCCUGGGCUACACACGUGCUACAAUGGUCGGUACAAAGGGUUGCCAAGCCGCGAGGUGGAGCUAAUCCCAUAAAACCGAUCGUAGUCCGGAUCGCAGUCUGCAACUCGACUGCGUGAAGUCGGAAUCGCUAGUAAUCGUGAAUCAGAAUGUCACGGUGAAUACGUUCCCGGGCCUU